CCAGCCAGCCAGCCAGCCUCUGACUGAGUACUACCUCCUGCUGAGCACAGGAAUGGUAAUGGCUGCUGUGUGCUUUGAUCCUGUCAUGUAUUAGUGAGAUCUGUGUCACUGGGGGAGAGUUUACACUACACUCACUGCUUAGCAGGGAACACACAGAAUCAUGUCUUAUUGGGCUUUAGAAUUAAACAUGGGGGAGGGAAUGUAAAAAAAAGAAAAAAUUGCUAAAUGUAAAAAAAUAAUCAUUAAAUUAACUGAGAGGGGAAAAAAAUAUAAAUACUGUUUUCUUAUUUCUUCAAUAACUGCAAACUAUAACAAUGGGGGGAUAUAAUAACACAGUCACGAACAAACAAAUAGUAAAUUAAGAUUCUAUUAGUAAUACAAUUGUGAGCGUAUUCAUUGAAUGAUUACAGCAGAGAAUUGAGAAGGGAGCCACACAAUUUACAUAUACAUAGCCAAAUGGGAAGAUUGUUGAAUUUAGAAUUUUUAUACCAGACAGGUUAUUUUGGCCUACAAUGUAUAAUUUCCUUGUCUGCUUCUUGCAAUUAAUAAUGUGAUAAAUAAACUGCCAGUAGUCAUUGUUAUGACUUGCGCGGUUGGGCAAGGUAUUGUAAAGUUUAGGCCAAAAUUGGCCAAAUUGGAAAUGUAUCCAAGUUUACUGUGUUUCCAACUCAGUUAUUUUAGUCUUAAAGGAACACUACACCCAUAAAGUACCAGAUUACUGAAGUGCUUUACGUGCCUGGAGCCUGUCAUAAUUUCACAAAUCGUUAGAAAUAUGCACUUUUAGAAUUGGGGCAGAACCACCUUCGUUCUCUCGAGCUAAUGGAAGCUGCAUGAUCGCCUCUGCCUCUCCCUCCUUUUCAGUGAGCUGUAUCACAGAAGAAUUAUUGUAUUAUUUAGAAGAGUACAAAGGCUGCGAUUGCGUGUGCUAUUCCUGACACAGACUGAAAGUCUCUGCUGGGGAAAAAAGCGAGGGCUGGCAAAGGCCGCAUGUAUAUUUUCUUAGGGGUUAAAAAUUGCUAAAAUAUAAAAUAAUCUCCAGUGAAGUGUUCCUUUAAAUUUGCCAUUUCUCAGUGAAUUCCUGAAAAUGUAUAGUUUAGCAAAUAACUGUUAUGUUAUUGUUGGGUGUUGAAAUCCGAUAUUGCAAAGUUGAGGCUAAUAUAGCCAAUCUUCACCCUAGCUGAGUUGGAGAUUUACUUUCUAAAUCCACUAUUUUACCUGCAAGCGUGUUCAGUCAGAGCACAGUUGCACUUAUAAGCAUAGUCAUUGUUGUUAUUUAAGUAUCAAUCAAUUUAUAUCAAUAAUUCAUAUUGUAUGAGACUUUCAGCGAAUGGAGUUCUAGCUAUGCAUACAGAUCUUUUCCACCACAAUUAGCAUAGCUUAUCUCUCUCUCUACCUUGUAGAUUGAGGGGCAGUUUAUAUCACCAGAAAAAUAAUAGAAAUAUAAUGGGGAACUAAAGCACAUGUUUCUUUUUCUUAUUUUUUCUCCUGGAAUAAUCAGUAACUAUAUUUAAUUCUUAUUAUAUUUAUUGGCUAUAUGACAUAAUUACCAGCCACAUUAAUGAACCGAAGAAAACCAAAUUGUUUCUAUGAUUCAAAAAAUGCCAGUAAUGCAAAGUGCAAAAAGUGAUUUAAUUAAUUGUUAAAGCAAUUUUUUAUUACACAGCACAGAGAAAAAAAAACAACAACAAAUCGAUUUAAAUGGCUCAUACAGCCAUAUAUAUUAGAUGCAGUGUGUUGGUUGAAUUACAGAUAGUUAUGCUGGGUGGGUGUCAUUUUUUUAUUUUUUGUAAAGUUUUUUUUUAAUUUAUUGUGCUUCGUAAGUCAACAAUUUCUGCCUACCCUCAUAGGCUAAAGCAUUGACGGCUAAGUCUGAGGAUUGUGAGCAGUUGUACGUCAGUAGUUCUACAGAAGAAAGCUGACAAUUGAACUGCAACUCCCAGAAAGUAUUGCUGUGCACAUAAAGCAUUGCAUUGUGCAGAACUGCUGUGGAAAAUCCAUCAUCAUUUUUAAAGGGACAUUAAAGGCAUCCAGACCACUUCAUCUCAGCUUUAACCCUGCAACGUAAAAUAUUACCAUUUUGUAGAAACAACAUUGUUUUCGUUGCAGGAUUAAACACGCCUCUAGUGGCUAUCUUCCUGACAGCCACUAGAGGCGCUUCUUCUGCACUCACUGAAUAAAGCUCGGUCACGUGACACCGAAACUCAUAGUUAUUUAAUCAAUGCUUCUCGUAUAGAGCAUUUGAUUGAUGGAGCAAGGGGAUUUGUUGUGCAUGAGCACUAACCUCCCAAUUCUUACCUAUGGGAAGAAGGCAGCAAGAUCAGCGCUCUGCAAGGUGUAAAGUAAGUAAAUCUUACCUUUUACAUUUUUUUAAACCCUGAUAGGGUGGGGAGAGGGGACAGACACCUAAAUUAUAGUGUUAGGAAUACAUGUUUGUAUUCUUAAGGUUAUAGUGUUCUUUUAAAAAAAAUAAGAAAAAACACCCCCUGGACUGGGCUGACCUCACUGUUAAAGCUGCAAAACCUGUGAAUUUGUUGCAAAUUCAGGAACUUCAAAUGUAAACAUCUUUUUUCAUUACGUGUGUGUCAGUGUGUACAUUUUUUAUGUAAGAAUUGAUCAAAUGUUAGCUCCCUCUCCCCCCCUCAGAAAUGUGCCCUUGCAUCCGUUGACGUGCUCAGUAUAAGCAGAAAUUUUUGUUUCGAUCAGCAUGUAUAAUGAUUUUAUUAGAGAGAUUUCUCUGGUGACACCAGAGAACAAACCCAGAGUUGUGGGAUAAUGCGCGAAACGCGUUAGGAGCUCUGGUCUGGCACCAAAAUUGGACUGUAAUGCCAGACCCAGGAAAGAGAGAGAAAUACAAUUGGCAUGACAUCCAUUUACAUUGUGCACUAGGAGAGGUUUAAACACAAAGUGCUCUGUGAAUAAAUAGGUGCUUAGGUAUAGUUAUAAAAAUAUAACAAGUUCACACGCUACUACACUCAGGUGGAUGUCCCCCCUAUUCCGCCCCACACCUGAGAGCAAACAAUCAAAAACAGGCAGGUGUACAAUACACCAACUAGAGAAGUGGAGCGUGUAAGGUGUUCUAUAGGAUAUGCCUACCCUUUGUUGGGACGUAGGGAUUAAGCUGUAAAAUAAAGGAAACAAAGGGUAAUAAUAGUGUAAUAAUCUCAGGGGUAUGAGUGGACUGUAGGUGUCCAAUGGUCCAACUCACAUGGGAAUGAGCCUUCCAGGACCGGCUCAGAUCGGAUAGGCAGAAGUGUACUAGGUGACACAGUCCCCUCUUCUGUCUGCUCAAAUAUGGUAUAUGAAACGAAAAAGAAGUGGGGAAACCAGUAGAAUUCUGGUGUAGUAUGUAAGGUAUGAUAAACCAGAUAUACAAUUAAAAGAUAUUGCUAUUCCAGAGCCCUUAAUGCCUGGCUCAAGGUGAUAGCGCUCUGUGCCUUUGAGGGGGCACACCCUUCUUUUUAAGCAAGCAGACAUGGGUGAUUUAUAGGGCUUUAUUAUUUAAUACACAUACCAAUUAAAAACAAAGUAACAAAAAUAAAAAGCUAGCUGCCAAGAAUACAAACAAGUUGUCCUUGUUCCUCCUCCGAUACGCGUUUCACCCUCUAACAGGGCUUUCUCAAUCGGUGUACACUUUGUUUUUAAUUGUUAUAUUUAUUAAAUAAUAUAGUCCUAUAAAUUACUCCUGUCUGCUUGCUUAAAAAGAAUGGUGUGCCCCCUCAAAGGCACAGAGCGCUAUCACCUUGAGCCAGGCAUUAAGGGCUCUGGAAUAGGUUAGCAAGAUCUUUUAAUUGUAUAUCUGUUUUAUCAUACCUUACAUACUACACCAGAAGUCUACUGGUUUCCCCACUUCUUUUUUGUUUCAUAUACCAUAUUUGAGCGGACAGAAGAGGGGAUUGUCACCUAGUACACUUCUGCCUAUACGAUCUGAGCCAGCCAAUGUGAGUUGGACAAUUGGACACCUACAGUCCACUUAUACCCCUGAAAUUAUUACACUAUUAGUCCCUUUUUUUUUUUUUUACAGCUUAAUCCCUACGUCCCAACAAAGGGUAUGCGUAUCCUAUAGUACACCUUACACUCUCCACUUCUCUGGUUGGUGCAUUGUACACCUUCCUGUAUUUGAUUGUUUACUAGGAGAGGUUUAGCCUUGCCCAGUAGUCAUACAUAAGACACCAUGGAAUGUUUUGGCAUUAGAUUGAAUAAAUAUUCAGUAUUUCAGAAUAAAUUAACCUUUAUAAGUCGAGUAAGACAGGUCAGCUUCAAUGCUGCUUUGUAUUUUGUCACAAUGUGUACGAGUAUUUGUUUUUUUGUCAGUCAUUGUUUUAUUGAGGAAAGUUUACAAGUUUUUUGGUUUCAUAUAGUGCGUUGAGAUAAAGCAUAUCUGUAUAAUAUCAACAGUAGUGAUGUCCCGAACGGUUCGCCGCGGAUGGCGAACAUAUGCGCUGUUCAGUCCGCCCCCUAUUCGUCAUCAUUGAGUAAACUUUGACCCUGUACCUCACAGUCAGCAGACACAUUCCAGCCUAUCAGCAGCAGACCCUCCCACCUCCUGGACAGCUCACUAAGAAUGCAGCUUCACAAUGAAUGUAAAAUGAAUGCUGUCCAGUAGGUGGGAGGGCCUGGGAGGGAGGGAGGGUCUGCUGCUGAUUGGCUGGAAUGUGUCUGCUGACUGUGAGGUACAGAGUCAAAGUUUACUCAAUAAUGACAUAGGGGGCGGACCGAACAGCGCAUAUGUUCGCCGUCCGUGGCGAACCGUUCGGCGAACCGUUCGGGACAUCACUAAUCAACAGUUAUAAACAUAAAACAUUAGCAGGCCUCUUUUACUUUUUUUUUCUCUGUGCAUGUGUCAGUUGGGUUCGUGCCUUAUGAGUGGUGGUGUACGAGUAUUUGUGUGUUUGUCUUUGAAUAAUAUAAUGUUUGAUCCUUAUCAAUAAAACAUUAUUAAUAAUAGAUCAAUGGCACAUGCAAGUUUUAUUAUAAAAGGUUCCUUUAAUCUUUUUAAAGAUAUUUUGGGGUGUGGGUUAUGAAAUGUUUGUGUUUUCUUAGAGUGUUGCUGUAUUAUCAGAUUGCAACUAUACAGAUAUGUCACAUGAAACAUAUACGUGUUCACUCGUAGUUAACACUUCUGCCGUGUGUGGCUUGCUGUGAAUGUUUAGGGAGAUAAGCAGAGAAGUCAUUCAUGUGGACAUUUUGCAAAAAGAUUAAAAAAAAACAACCAACCUUUAAUCCAUUCUAAAUAACUGUGGUCAUGGCUUAUUGGUAAUGAAAGGGAGGUGACUUUUUGUUGCGUUACCACAUGACUUUGAUCGCAGAUGCUGAGUAGUUGACAAUAGAUUAUUGUAGCAUUGCCAGUUCCACCACAUUUUCUGGGAGAUAUAUUAUAUAUGUUGAUUGUUGGCAUAUAUGUUCUGUACGACAUUAGGAGAAAUUAAGUUAUUAAAGAGACAUUCUAGGCACCAUAACAACUUCAACACAAAGAAAGUACAUGGGCAUAACAAUCAGGUGAUGAAGCUGCUAUGGUACCCAGAGUGGUCCUUUAAAGAUACCAGUUUCAUGAUACCUCCAGUACUUCCUCCUAUGCCUCAUCACCUUGCUGGGCAGUGUUGCACUGCGCAUUAUGCUGGCGUAAUGUUUGGUGCAGGAAGCCAUGUGUCCUUUUAUACCGCUCCAUGCCAAUGUCACCUUUCAGACGAAGGUUCAACGUCGUACCUGGACUAUACCUUGUGACGCUCACUAAUAUGGUGAUGCAUGUCCUGUUUAAACCUCGUUACGGACAGGUCAUUGCUUCGUCCUCGUUUCUGUUUUAGUAACCGAGAGUGUGUUUUCCUUUUAAUUGCCUGCUUGGUAUCUGCUCUGACUAAUCCUUGAGUAUUCUAUCCUCUCUAUCCCUGGACCUUGGCUUGUUUUGUGGUUUUUGUGAUGUUCUAUAUCCCCUUGACCUUGGCCUGUUUUGUAAUGCUCUAUAUCCCCUUGACCUUGGGCUGUUUUGUGAUGCUCUAUAUCCCCUUGACCUUGGCCUGUUUUGUGAUGCUCUAUAUCCCCUUGGCCUGUUUUGUGGUUUUUGAACUGUAGAACUGUAGCAAUUUGUUAUAAUCACUGCAGCUGUAAGCCAACCUCUCAAUGCUGUCAAUCAAGGCUGUCAGAAUGUUUAACAUGAAUUUUGACCUAAUUGUAUUAAGCUCUCUCUCUCCUCCCUGUAAAACAGGUUGAGCUGCAGAUGUAUGUGUCUGCCAGUCAGAUAGACCAGUUGACUGAACAGUGAACUAUUAUGUUUAACAGCUGCAGUAAUGUUUCUAUCUGUUUAUAAAGCAGUUGCAAUCAUCCUAAGUGAUGAUUGGAACAGCUCCGUAGGCAUAAAUUACUUAUAUAAUGCAUUAAAAACAUAGGGAUCAGUUUUAAUCCAUAUCCCAUUAAUCACUGUGAAAUCUUUAUGUAUACAAAUUCUACAUGCUGCAGGGCAGCACUAUUCCUGCUCUGCCCAUUAACAUAAGGAAAAUAUGUGUGUUCAGAAAAACAUGGUGGGAUUUUAAAAAAAAAACUAAUAAAAGGGGCCCUCCUUGUUCCAUAACAAAUAUUUAAUCAAUUAAAUUCAACAAACUAACUUCAUAUGUCCAGAACAUUUUUAACAUGACCGAGGUCAGGAUAAAACCUGUUUCUUACCUAAUCUUUUUAAGAAACCUGCUUGGCUCUCAUUGGUUGCAACGUUAGUCAGAUAGCAGAAACUAAUGUAGGGUAGCAAGAUCAGGGUGAUCACAUGAUGUUAGGUACUCUUAUACCUGUUCUGAUUGGCAGAUCUGUGUCCACCAUCUUUAUCCCUGAUCCUUCCAGCAACAAUCAUGAAAGAAUCCGAGAUGAGUGACUCAAAUCCCAUCUCCUACCAAUUAACUAGUAGCUACCAGCAAAAUAAAUAUGACACGUUUAUUACUUUAAUAAUAUCACAGACAAUCUCAUCAGGGGAGUAAAAUAAGAAGGAUUUCAGAAUACGGCACUGGGCCCUGUGACAAACUGAGAUAACACUCGAGGCUGUAGUGGUUAUGGUGCUUAGAGUAUUCCUUUAAGACACAAUUUGUUCAGGGACAGGCAUUCAAAAUGCAGACAUGUCCUGAUAACAUUUCUGACAGUUUGGCAAAUAUGUCCAGACCAUUGCCGGUGUAACAGUUUCUAAAAGUAAAUUUAUACAUCAAUCUUAAAUGUGAAAAUAAUAUCUUUGAAUAGGUGGAUCAGCAACCGAUGUCAUUAAAAAAAUAUAAUAUUGCUAGUUCAGCAACUACACUUUAGCACAGAAAGGUAUUAAAUACAAUUAAUAAUUGACACUGCAAGGUUUGUUUUUCACUAUGUAAAUAUAGAAACAUAGAAACAUAGAAUGUGACGGCAGAUAAGAACCAUUCGGCCCAUCUAGUCUGCCCAAUUUUCUAAAUACUUUCAUUAGUCCCUAGUCUUAUCUUAUAGUUAGGAUAUCCUUAUGCCUAUCCCACGCAUGCUUAAACUCCUUUACUGUGUUAACCUCUACCACUUCAGCUGGAAGGCUAUUCGAUGCAUCCACUACCCUCUCAGUAAAGUAAUACUUCCUGAUAUUAUUUUUAAACCUUUGUCCCUCUAAUUUAAGACUAUGUCCUCUUGUUGUGGUAGUUUUUCUUCUUUUAAAUAUAGUCUCCUCCUUACUGUGUUGAUUCCCUUUAUAUAUUUAAAUGUUUCUAUCAUAUCCCCCCUGUCUCGUCUUUCCUCCAAGCUAUACAUGUUAAGAUCUUUAACCUUUCCUGGUAAGUUUUAUCCCGCAAUCCAUGAACCAGUUUAGUAGCCCUUCUCUGAACCCUCUCUAAGGUAUCAAUAUCCUUCUGAAGAUACGGUCCCCAGUACUGUGUACAAUACUCCAAGUGAGGUCUCACCAGUGUUCUGUACAAUGGCAUGAGCACUUCCCUCUUUCUACUGCUAAUACCUCUCCCUAUACAACCAAGCAUUCUGCUAGCAUUUCCUGCUGCUCUAUUACAUUGUCUGCCUACCUUUAAGUCAUCGGAAAUAAUCACCCCUAAAUCCCUUUCCUCAUAUGUUGAGGUUAGGACUCUAUCAAAUAUUCUGUACUCUGCCCUUGUGUUUUUACGUCCAAGAUGCAUUAUCUUGCACUUAUCCACAUUAAAUGUCAGUUGCCACAAUUCUGACCAUUUUUCUAGUUUACCUAAAUCAUUUGCCAUUUGGCUUAUCCCUCCUGGAACAUCAACCCUGUUACAUAUCUUAGUAUCAUCAGCAAAAAGACAUACCUUACCAUCAAGACCUUCUGCAAUAUCACUAAUAAAAAUAAUAAAGAGAAUGGGUCCAAGUACAGAUCCCUGAGGUACCCCACUGGUGACAAGCAAGCUUCGAAUAUACUCCAUUAACUACAACCCUCUGUUGCCUGUCACUCAGCCACUGCCUUACCCAUUCAACAAUAUUGGAAUCCAAACUUAAAGAUUGCAGUUUAUUGAUAAGCCUUCUAUGUGCAACAGUGUCAAAAGCCUUACUGAAAUCUAGGUAAGCAAUGUCUACUGCACCACCCGAUCUAUAAUUUUAGUUACCCAAUCAAAAAAAUCAAUAAGAUUAGUUUGGCAUGAUCUCCCUGAAGUAAACCCAUGUUGUCUCUGAUCUUGAAAUCCAUGUGUUUUAGAUAGUUCGUAAGGCAAUUUUUCUUCAUUACAUUAUUAGUUCCCUACCUCAGCUAGACGUCUUGUAGUUGACGUUGUCACAAUAUGGACAUUUUAUACUUCAAAUUAUUAAUAUAAUAUUAGCAUUAGUCUAGGCGGCAAAUUUAAUUAGGAUGUACCCCAUGAACUUUUUUUUUAUUACAGAACAUUCUUUUUUUUUGUUUGUUUUUAUUAAAAAACAAACCAAACAAAAAAACACUAAAUCAGACUUAAAGGGUUACUCCAAGCACCAUAGUCACUUCAGUGAUUUUACCCAUAUUGUAUAUCUUGCACCCGCUUUUACCUACUUUUUGGUGCAGGGGCAAACUGACAGCAAGCUGGGCCCGGCUUGACGUGCAAUUAAGCACAGACACGCAUUGUGGUUCAAAAUUCAUAUUGCAUUUCUGCACAAACCCUUAGCAAUGGACACUGUUUCAAACACAGCUUUUUUUUUUAACUGAUCCAAAAGGACCAGUGACCAGAAACCAGCCAUGGACUGCAGUUUCAACCUUGUGGGUUUCAUCAGCAUGGCACUGAUUUUGGUCUGGAAGUUAAAGUCUCUCUGACAAUAUAGCUAGGUAAGGAAAUAUAUAUUAGAUCAGAUACUGUAGCUAUUCUUGUUCAGUGAUGUAGGUGUAAAAUAACAGAUGAACAUAGUAUCUUGUAAUAUCAAUUUUUAUUCGAUUAACAUAAUUUUGGAACGACAAGCUUAGAGGAGAUCCUCCAUUCCUCAAGUCUAAGUAUUUCUGAGCUAAGCAACACAUAGAAUUCAAAGUUGACUCAAUACUCUCUUACGCGGCUUCCUCGUCACAAGUCUGAUUUUUAACUCUCAUACCGACAGUCAACCACUAGAGGUGAACUUAAACCUGCAAUGUAAAUAUUGGGGUUUCUCAAAAACUUAAUUGUUUUACAUUGCAGGAUUAAGAGGACAGGCACACUGCACCCAGAUCACUUCAAUCAGAUACAUUGGUCUGGGUGACCAUAAUAUUCACCCAGCCUCCCUUAAGUGCUUUUAACCCCUUAAGGACCAAACUUCUGGAAUAAAAGGGACUCAUGACAUGUCACACAUGUCAUGUGUCCUUAAGGGGUUAAAUGAAAAACAGGAGUGGAACCUCAUCCCUAGUGUCCAGUGGGGAGCUGCAGAGAUCAGUCUCUACUAAUUACCCAGUUCCCUAUCACCUUUCACCCAGUGCAGACUGCCCACUCUCCCCCUCUUCGUAAUCAACAAGUAACACACACUUUAUUCUCUGAACAGUGAAUUGUGAUGAACUAACAACCAUCAAGGCUCCGAGAGAUAUAUAUUUAUAUUUCCAACAAGGUCACUUGAGUGUAGGAAACGAGAGUAUGCGGGGGACGAAUCCCCCACAAAAAAUCUGGUGUGGCUUUUAAGAUCAUAUGAUAAGAAAAACAAACGAUUUGUUAAAAUAGAGUUGUUUACUUGUUUGCUACUUGUUUAGUAGACUCCCUAGUGAUAAUAUAUAAUUUCACUGGAGAAAACUGAAAGCUCCCUAAAUUGGGCUAGGAGUACUAUAGGCCAAUCCCCUCUCCCCCCAGAUUCAGUGUGGGUCCUAUUUCAAUGACAGGCCAUGUAGCAUUAUAAUAAGCAAGCUGUGACCUUCAGGUUUGGAACUAUAUAUGUUGUCCAAUUGUCUGGGGUCUAUACAGUGGGGUUCUGUAUUUGUAGAUUGAGGUUGCAAAGCCCCUCACAGUCUCCCUGCAGACCCACCAAUGCUGAACCCCUAAAAUUUGCUAUUUCUCUGCCAGUGUGAAUUAAUUUAAAGGGACACUAAUUAAUUUAGUUGUUCUGGUGGGUAUAAUUAUUCCCUGUAGGCAUUUUCAUGCAAACAUUGCCUUUUCAGAUAAAAGGCAGUGUUUACAUUACAGCCUAGGGACACCUCCAGUGGCCACUCCUCAGAUGGCUGCUAGAGGUGCUUCCUGUUACUGGAGCACUGCUGUUCAGCAUCCCCACACUCUGCAUGGAGACACUGAAUUUUUCUCAUAGAGAUGCAUUGAUUCAAUGCAUUUCUAUGAGGAAGUGCUGAUAGGCCAAGCCGGCGUUUGUCCCCGCCCCCUCCCUACUAAUUUUCCUGGCACUAUAGUGCCCUGAGGGUGCCCCCAUCCUCAGGGUCCCCCUCCCGCCCGGCUCUGGAAAGGGGAAAAGGGGUAAAACUUACCUUUUUCCAGCGCUGGGCGGAGAGCUCUCUGCCUCCGAUCCUCCUCCGUUCAUCCCCGUCGGUUGAAUGCGCACGCGUGGCAAGAGCUGCGCGCGCAUUCAGCCGGUCGCAUAGGAAAGCAUUUAAAAUGCUUUCCUAUGGACGCUUGCGUGCUCUCACUGUUAAUAGGUGACUUACUAAUAAAACUUUUCCAAAUAAAAUGUAAUUUAGAACAAUGUAUCUUAUUUACAUAGACUGUUUUCUAAACACAUUUAUUGUGGUUUAAAGACAUGCAGCGCUACAGAAUUUGUUGGCGCUAUAUAAAUAAUAAUAAUACUGUGAGUAUUCAUGCUAUGAAGCUCUGUUAUACACUCAGACACAGACACAAUAUGGAAGCUCCUAGAAAAGAGGGACAUUAGGAUAGAAAAGAAGGACAAAGAUUUGGACCCAAAAUAAAGACUCCCACUCUUAGCCAGGGACAGAUGGGAGGUGUGGCACGCUGCUUUUGAUUGAUACACAUUGUCUUAAUAAAGUUUUCUGUUUUUCUUUCUCUUUGCUUCCUACUAUAUACAGAAGUGAAAGUGAAAGUUUGAAGCCUGCCGAGGCCGUGUUAAUGCAGGGGAGAGAAAGCUUUGUGUGGAUUUGUCAGCCUUAUGGAAACGCUUUAAAGUCUGGGGUCGUACGGUGUUAACCCCUCUCUAGCCACACGGCUACCGAGGACUGAUACAUAGCAAGACAUCUCGGUUCUUGGUGCACGUAAGUUAUUUUCCUGCAUGUAAAUUAAAUGCCUUAAUUGGACCUGAUCUACAUAAUCAAAAUGUGUGUAAUCGAAUAACCGAGCCAGAAUACAUUCCCAGUGAAACGUGCAGGUUUUUUCACUGAAGUGAGAAUUGUCAGAAAUGUAAAGUUAAUUUUAAAAAGUAAGGGCACAUUAGUCGAAUUGGAAGAAACUCAUAUUUCCAGUUCCGCUAUUGUAGCCUUAAAGGGUUACUAUAAUCUUACCGAGAGGGGGGACAUUUUCAGCGUAAUAUGCCGUACUGGGCACUGUGGGAAAGGUCCCUGCUCUCAAUUACCUGAAAUAAAAUGGUUUUAUUUAUCUUGAAUACAGAGUUCUGGGCUGCCGGUGUCACGUGUGCUGGGGGGGGGAACCAGCCCCCGUCUCACAAUUAAGAAUAUCUCUCUAUGUGCGGUGUUUUAACCCCUCAAGGACAACCUCUGGAAUAAAAGGGAAUCAUGAUGGAAUAUUUCCGUCAUGUGUCCUUAAGGGGUUAAGCAGAAUUUGCACAUACUUACUCAUACCACCAUAACCACUUUAAAUCACUGACGUGGUCAUGGUGGUUGGAGUAACCCUUUAAAUGUCAAGUUCAUCCGAGCAAUUCUCACUUUAUUGAAGAAACCUGUCAGUUAUUCUCAUGAGUUUCACCAUGCUGAGGCCUUUUACUGUGCUGCGGUUUAGUUACUACACAGUGAAUUAUGCUCAAUGGAUAUACAAAAUUCAGGCUAAACCAAAGAAGCUGUGAUUAUAACUCGGAUGACAAAAUAAUUUUUUCAAACCAGUUAUUUUUCCCUGAAGUUUUGCAAUAUGGUUUUUAAUUUACUGCAAAUCUGUGUUUUAGUGAACAAAACCCAUUUUCUUUUUCUCUUUAAUUACUAGUAAACAAUGAAUUGCAAACCAUCAAUUUAUUCCAGAUUAGUCAUGACAUAAAAUUCUCAAUAGGAGAUUUUUUUAUCAAAUAGUUUUUUAGCCUAACAAUGUAAUUACUAAAAUGAAAAUUCCAAGUGAAUUUCAAAUUUAAGGUCAACAUAGCCAAAUCGCAAUCAAUCUUUAAGUCCGCUAUGCUGUCAGCUGCUACUUUGGCCUUAAAAAUAAAAUUUACUUUGAAUUCUCUUUGAAUUCUCAUUGCAGUGAAUAACUACAUGUUUUACAAUUCAGCUUCUGAGUCUCUGUUCAGUGAAUGAGUGUUAUAAAAUAUCUAAAUAAAAACCUACCCAUUGCCAUUAAUUUAUAAUCAUGAUAUUAUAAUUUUACCGUAUUUCUGUAUACAAUUGUUGUAAGACAUGAACUAACAAACGAGCAGCUGUUGUGUUUGAGAAUAUGUUAAGUCCCUGUCGCGUUAGAUUAACAGAAGUUAUAUUUAAAAAUGUUUUAAAAUUAUAAUUUUGACAAGAAAAAAAAAGCAAAAAAGCAGAUAGUAUUUUAUUAAGUAAGCUUUUAUGUUUAUAUAGCGUUAUGAUUUGUGGCCUUGAUUCAGGAAAUCCCCUUGUCAAACACAUUUACUUAUAGGCAGACGUUAUCUUUGAGAGCACGUGCUCUAAACUAGUACUGAAUACUGAAUAAGUGCUACAGACAUUCAUUGUGGG
This is a non-coding RNA of Pelobates cultripes (western spadefoot toad), 13162 nucleotides long. The record is from the annotation of a GenBank genome assembly. Lineage: Eukaryota; Metazoa; Chordata; Amphibia; Anura; Pelobatidae.